This 728-nucleotide ribosomal RNA is filed under the name uncultured Planctomycetota bacterium. Its description in RNAcentral is "bacterial SSU rRNA". It matches the Rfam family "Bacterial small subunit ribosomal RNA", at positions 558 to 1278 of the family's 1533-position model. The record is from RNAcentral. Lineage: Bacteria; Pseudomonadati; Planctomycetota.
GCUUGAGCACGUAGGUGGGUUUGUAAGUCAGAUGUGAAAGCCUUCUGUUCAACGGAAGAAUUGCAUCUGAAACUACAAGUCUUGAGUGUAGGAGGGGAGAAUGGAACUUCUGGUGGAGCGGUGAAAUGCGUAGAUAUCAGAAGGAACGCCGGCGGCGAAAGCGAUUCUCUGGCCUAUUACUGACACUCAGUGUGCGAAAGCUAGGGGAGCAAACGGGAUUAGAUACCCCGGUAGUCCUAGCCGUAAACGAUGGGCACUAAGUAGAGGGAAUUACCGAUGUUCUCUCUGCCGUAGCUAACGCAUUAAGUGCCCCGCCUGGGGAGUACGGCCGCAAGGCUAAAACUCAAAAGAAUUGACGGGGGCUCGCACAAGCGGUGGAGCAUGUGGCUUAAUUCGAUGCAACGCGAAAAACCUUACCGGGGCUUGACAUGGUAGAAGUAGGAACCCGAAAGGGUAACGAACGGUAUCCAGUCCGUAACUAUUACAGGUGUUGCAUGGCUGUCGUCAGCUCGUGUCGUGAGACGUUGGGUUAAGUCCCCUAACGAGCGAAACCCUUAUUUUUAGUUACCAGUGGGUUAUGCCGGGUACUCUAGAAAGACUGCCGUCGUCAAGACGGAGGAAGGUGGGGAUGACGUCAAGUCAUCAUGGCCCUUAUGCCCCGGGCUGCACACGUGCUACAAUGGUCGGUACAAACGGAUGCGAAGCCGAGAGGUGAAGCGAAUCCAAGC